This 99-nucleotide transfer RNA is filed under the name compost metagenome. RNAcentral's name for it is "tRNA-Pro". The record is from RNAcentral.
GCGGUGGGGAGCGGCACCUGGGCCGCGCCCGCGGCCGGGGCCGCCGCCGGCUGGAAACGAUUGGCCGCCGCCUGCUGGUUCGGGUCCGCCGCCGCCGCG